UACGUAGGUGGCAAGCGUUGUCCGGAUUUAUUGGGCGUAAAGCGAGCGCAGGCGGUUUCUUAAGUCUGAUGUGAAAGCCCCCGGCUCAACCGGGGAGGGUCAUUGGAAACUGGUCGACUUGAGUGCAGAAGAGGGAAGUGGAAUUCCAUGUGUAGCGGUGAAAUGCGUAGAGAUAUGGAGGAACACCAGUGGCGAAGGCGGCUUCCUGGUCUGUAACUGACACUGAGGCGCGAAAGCGUGGGGAGCAAACAGG
RNAcentral lists this ribosomal RNA (253 nucleotides) under uncultured Bacilli bacterium. RNAcentral describes it as "partial 16S ribosomal RNA". It matches the Rfam family "Bacterial small subunit ribosomal RNA", at positions 524 to 776 of the family's 1533-position model. Lineage: Bacteria; Bacillati; Bacillota; Bacilli. The record is from RNAcentral.